RNAcentral lists this small RNA (27 nucleotides) under Bombyx mori (domestic silkworm). RNAcentral describes it as "ovarian small RNA-8659". The record is from RNAcentral. Lineage: Eukaryota; Metazoa; Arthropoda; Insecta; Lepidoptera; Bombycidae.
UGGAAAGAAGAUCGUCCUGUACUGUAG